UUUCCCUCUUUCAUCUUCCAUCGAGCACCCACAUUGAAACGGCCCCUUAGAUUUCCUCCAUCGAUCUCCAUGUCCUGUCCUGUGAUGGACCCUUCAUAGAUGCACCUAAUCAAUCCUUCACUAGCCACCCAUUUUUACAUAGUUUGGAGCACCUCAUCAAUCCUUCAUAGAUGUACCUCAUCAAUCCUACUUUCAUGCCAUGUCUUGGAAAGAUAGCAAGGAUCCUUGGCCCUCGUGGUAUGAUGCCAAACCCCAAGCUUGGAUUUGUGACAAGUGAUGUUGCCGAUGCAGUGCAAGAGGCAAAACGUGGUCGUAUCGAUUUUAAAAUUGACAAAACUGCCAUCGUGCAUGUAGGCAUUGGG
This is a long non-coding RNA of Magnolia sinica, 362 nucleotides long. RefSeq lists it as uncharacterized. The transcript is spliced from 3 exons. The record is from RefSeq and is a predicted model, not a curated record. Lineage: Eukaryota; Viridiplantae; Streptophyta; Magnoliopsida; Magnoliales; Magnoliaceae.